This 445-nucleotide ribosomal RNA is filed under the name uncultured bacterium. RNAcentral's name for it is "partial 16S ribosomal RNA". It matches the Rfam family "Bacterial small subunit ribosomal RNA", at positions 354 to 796 of the family's 1533-position model. The record is from RNAcentral.
GUGAGGAAUAUUGGUCAAUGGGCGGAAGCCUGAACCAGCCAAGUCGCGUGAAGGAAGAAGGAUCUAUGGUUUGUAAACUUCUUUUGAAGGGGGAUAAAGUGCGUCACGAGUGGUGCAUUGCAGGUACCCUUGGAAUAAGCAUCGGCUAACUCCGUGCCAGCAGCCGCGGUAAUACGGAGGAUGCGAGCGUUAUCCGGAUUUAUUGGGUUUAAAGGGUGCGUAGGUGGCUUUUUAAGUCAGCGGUGAAAACUGGCGGCUCAACCGCAAGAGUGCCGUUGAAACUGGGGAGCUAGAGUAUGAACGAGGGAGGCGGAAUGUGUGGUGUAGCGGUGAAAUGCAUAGAUAUCACGCAGAACUCCGAUAGCGAAGGCAGCUUACCGGGCCAUAACAGACACUGAAGCACGAAAGCGUGGGGAUCGAACAGGAUUAGAAACCCGUGUAGUCC